AGGGGCGUAUUUAUAAGGGAAGGAGCGCAUCACACUCCGAGGCGUCAUCAUUAGGCCUAGAUGGGCCUAGACCAGCCCAUUUGGGCGCGUGAAGCUCACCACGACUCACGACGCUUCAACUUCUCGAGGAAAACCAAGACCGGUUUGAAUCGAGACCAACAGUCGAAAUCAAAACCGAAAGAAACCGCCGAUCCAAAUCGAAUUGGUCAAAUCACGGAGUGAGAAUAAACGAGUUGCUCACACAGUCGAGGAAUCGAGCGAGAUCAUAAACCUGGAACAAUUGUCUUGCAAACCCUACUUCAGAAUUCGCUGAGUCGGCUACGCUACCCACCAGCGAA
RNAcentral lists this long non-coding RNA (338 nucleotides) under Brassica napus (rape). RNAcentral's name for it is "long non-coding RNA (BNAP_LNC020346)". The record is from RNAcentral. Lineage: Eukaryota; Viridiplantae; Streptophyta; Magnoliopsida; Brassicales; Brassicaceae.